This 1301-nucleotide long non-coding RNA is filed under the name Homo sapiens (human). RNAcentral describes it as "HSALNT0095287". The record is from RNAcentral. Lineage: Eukaryota; Metazoa; Chordata; Mammalia; Primates; Hominidae.
CCGCCUCAGACUCAGAGCUGCGCUCCUCGACCUCAACGCCAGGCGGUUACUUUGCUGCUCCUCCCGCUCGCUAUGUCAACGUCCACUAGCUGCCCGAUUCCCGGGGGCCGGGACCAGCUGCCCGACUGCUACAGCACCACGCCGGGGGGCACGCUAUACGCCACUACCCCCGGAGGUCAGCGGGCCGGGCAGGGGUCCGCAGGCUGCGGACAUAUUAGCGCGUGCGUGUUGUUGCGGGGCGGGGGUAGGGGAGGGACAGACCUAAGACUUGUCCGCAGGCCCCUCUACAGGUUGUAGCUUUGGGGGAGAAUGUUUGGAGCGGAAGCUCAGUUCCCAAAAACUUCUAAGUGAUGCAACAAGGCCAUGAGCCUAGCUUCCGGGUGUUUGGGCUGUAAUCCUUCACUGUGGCCUGGGUUCUUGGAGCCUUACACACGCUCCUUACCCCUCGCGACUUUGCUUCCUAGGAAUAGGGGCCAGGGCCCCCUACUGAGCGUGACCUCAGCCGGAAGCACCGGGUCUUGAGAAGUGGAGUAGUUAGAACAGUUGGGGCAGUUGCUCCGUUUUUGUGCUGCUGGCUGGCGUCUGUUUGGUUGGGCGAGCAGCCUGGGAUCACGAGCUGCUGGGCUCCCGACCCAGGGAUUCCUGCCACGCGGAAGCGGAGGGGAGGAACAGGGCAGGACCCUUUGAGGACAUUAUGCGGGCCAAGUUCCUCUGAGCUAGUGUGAACCUUAUAGGACCUGGGAGGGGUCAGGAUUAGAACAGUACGUUUCUCCUCCCUGCAGGAGAUAGCCCAGGCACCAGGAUCAUCUACGACCGAAAGUUCCUGCUGGAGUGCAAGAACUCACCCAUUGCCCGGACACCCCCCUGCUGCCUCCCUCAGAUUCCCGGGGUCACAACUCCUCCAACAGCCCCUCUCUCCAAGCUGGAGGAGCUGAAGGAGCAGGAGACAGAGGAAGAGAUACCCGAUGACGCACAAUUUGAAAUGGACAUCUAAUCCAGUGCAGAUGACCUGGCAUGUGGAGUUACAGAGGGAUCCCUCAUGCCACUGCUGCCACCACCUCUUCCUGGGGCAUCCAAAGGCCAGCUGGCCUCAUCUAAUCUGGAAGGGAGUGACUUGUUAGUUCCAGGCCUCCUUUAGUUCUGAGGCAGCUAGACCAGGGAUAGGAGUGGGCAACUUGCCAAGCCCUUAACUCUACUUCCUCUUCAGUCUGUGGUACUCCUCCUAACCCUAAACCCUCUAUGCUCAGGGGCUGGAACUGGGGAAUGGAGUAAGUCACCUUCUGACUGCUUAGUAAACAUUC